UGUACCUGUGGAGACUCAGCUGAGUUGUUUUGGUUGUCCCUUGGCUGAAUUGGAUUGUCGUCCCUUUUUGGGAUGAGAAAAAGGAAUGUUACUGUCCCGUGCCACAAAACUACACAAUGGUGGCAUCAUGACUCCAGGCAGCAUGGCUCCAGGACCCAGGAUACUCAGAGUGAUCUGUGGGCCAGAUAUAAAUGCAGAGUCUCAGGUUCCCAGAACUCCUGAAUCAGAAUCUGCAUUUUAACAAGAUCUCAGGAAAUUCAUUUGGACAAUAAAGUUUAAGGAGUUCGGGUAUACUA
Suricata suricatta (meerkat) is the source of this 296-nucleotide long non-coding RNA. RefSeq lists it as uncharacterized. The record is from RefSeq and is a predicted model, not a curated record. The transcript is spliced from 2 exons. Lineage: Eukaryota; Metazoa; Chordata; Mammalia; Carnivora; Herpestidae.